RNAcentral lists this non-coding RNA (30 nucleotides) under Homo sapiens (human). Lineage: Eukaryota; Metazoa; Chordata; Mammalia; Primates; Hominidae. The record is from RNAcentral.
UCUAGACUCAGAAAGACCUUGUAUGCCACA